AUUGAACGCUGGCGGCAUGCCUUACACAUGCAAGUCGAACGGUAACGCGGGGCAACCUGGCGACGAGUGGCGAACGGGUGAGUAAAGUAUCGGAACAUGCCCAAUAGUGGGGGAUAGCCCGGCGAAAGCCGGAUUAAUACCGCAUGAGACCUGAGGGUGAAAGCGGGGGACUCGCAAGAGCCUCGCGCUGUUGGAGCGGCCGAUAUCAGAUUAGGUAGUUGGUGGGGUAAAGGCCUACCAAGCCGACGAUCUGUAGCUGGUCUGAGAGGACGACCAGCCACACUGGGACUGAGACACGGCCCAGACUCCUACGGGAGGCAGCAGUGGGGAAUUUUGGACAAUGGGCGCAAGCCUGAUCCAGCCAUGCCGCGUGC
RNAcentral lists this ribosomal RNA (374 nucleotides) under uncultured bacterium. RNAcentral describes it as "bacterial SSU rRNA". It matches the Rfam family "Bacterial small subunit ribosomal RNA", at positions 29 to 404 of the family's 1533-position model. The record is from RNAcentral.